Molecule: long non-coding RNA, 1342 nt
Filed under: Callithrix jacchus (white-tufted-ear marmoset)
Lineage: Eukaryota; Metazoa; Chordata; Mammalia; Primates; Cebidae
Description: lncRNA (ENSCJAG00000061217.2)
Source: RNAcentral
CUCAGGAAGGAGAACUGAGAGCCUUUUUCUAAGUGGUGCCUGCUUUGUUUAAGGGGUAAGUUCGCAGCGCUGCGGCAGGGCCUGGCAGCCAGGGACCUUGGCAGAAGCUACAAUAAGAAUGUGGGGCUUUUAAAACUCUGGUCCUCUUGGAUGCCUCCAGUCCAGGCAUAGCUGACUGGGAAGUCAGUACUCUCUCCACACUGCAGUUAAAUGACCGACCUGAGGAUAAUUGGGGUCAUUUGUCACACAAAUGACAAAUGUGAGAGCAAGAAGAGGCUGGAGCAGAAAGUUGGUCAACCUGCAUGCAGAUGAGGUUUCCUGUGACCGCCCCAACCUGCCAAGGACAGUAUGAGCCCAUGGGCAUCACCGGCAGGAUGGACCUCAUGUCCUCCACAGCCAGCACACAAGCGAAUUGUGGCUUCCUGGCCACUGGGCUAGCAUGGGCAACCCCCAGGGACCUCUGUUCCUGUGGGACCUGAAAACUGUAAAUGUGGGCAGGAUAGAUUCUUCUCCUGCUCUUCCACAGCUGCAAAGGCCCCUCCUUGUCACAUAAGCACUUAAUUAACAUAAUGAGCAGCUACUGAGUUGAUUGUUAUCAUCAUCUGCCUCUUUGUUAGAAGUGGAGCCAUGCUGGGGCCCAACCAGGAGCCGGCCAGGCAGACCCAGGCAGGAGAGAACACAUGGAGGUGAGUAACCACUGCAGGCUGGCACUCAAUGAGGCAGGUGUCUCUUCUCUGGCCUAGGGCGGGGCAAAGGAGGAGGUGGCGUGCUUUGCUCAUCCUGCAGAGCAAGGCUCCCUAGCCACCAAUCCCCCACUAGUCAGAUGCAUUCUACUGGGAACACAGCUAAUCGGAUGCUCAGAAAGACCAAGGUUUAUGUUAUAUCUACUCUUUCCACAGUUUACUGUCCAUGAAUGUUCCAAGCUCCACCACUGGAAGUGACUCUCCACAGAGUUCAGUAAGAGAGAGAGAGACACCAUAGAAAUCUGAAGAUGGCUUUGCCCUUCGACUCUGCAAUCUGCUCGCUACUCUCAGAGUUAGUAGAAGAGCCGAUCUAUCAAUCAACAAAUGCUGUCAAUCAGGAGAAUGCUUUAAGCUCUGCCUGUGGAGUGGGAAGAAGAGAUCUAAAGACUAUAAGCUGGCCUGGUGCAGUGGUUCACGCCUGUAAUCCCAGCACUUUGGGAGGCCAAGGUGGGAGGAACACUUAACGCCAGGACUUCGAGUCUAUCCUAAGCAGUAUAAUGAUACUCCCAUCUCUACAAAAAAAUUAAAAAGCCAGGCAUGGUGGUCUGCAUCUCUAGACCUAGUUACUCCACAGCCAUUUUGCCAAAGCAAGAGCAUGC